AUAAGGUGGAAUAUCAAAUGAAUAAAAAUAACAGACAUGGCGGUCUAUCAUCUAAUUAGAGGGGUAUGUGUUGAGAAUGAAGUUGCGCGAUAAAUUAUUCCUAUUUUUUGAAUCAUUUUGCAUAUCGCUGUCUGAAAAAUUCGUUUUAAAGUGGAUUUUUUUUCUAGAAAUAAGGCAAGUAAAGGUGUAGACGAUAGAGUAGGAAGACAUGUAUUUCAUUGUAAAUUAUGGAUAGGGGAAUAUGGAGAAAUAGAAUUUAAAAGUAAAUUGAGUUUAUUAUACUCUGUUGAAUAAGCAAUAAUGGAUGUACACA
This 313-nucleotide ribosomal RNA is filed under the name Goniodes isogenos. Its description in RNAcentral is "partial 12S ribosomal RNA". The record is from RNAcentral. Lineage: Eukaryota; Metazoa; Arthropoda; Insecta; Psocodea; Philopteridae.